This is a long non-coding RNA of Sardina pilchardus (European sardine), 469 nucleotides long. RefSeq lists it as uncharacterized. The record is from RefSeq and is a predicted model, not a curated record. NCBI's taxonomy places the organism in Eukaryota, Metazoa, Chordata, Actinopteri, Clupeiformes, Clupeidae. The transcript is spliced from 3 exons.
CUGAUGUCUUUAUGUCCUUAAAGUCAUGUACCAUCAGAGUGAAAAAUGAGUAUGCAGUAUGCUACGUCAACAGUACAGGAGACACCUCUGAUUGGAUAGAAAUAUGUUCUGAACUAAUAAAUAUUCUUUUGGUGAUGGACUGAACAAGCAGGUACAUUUUAGAGUCGAAGAUGGAACAUGCCAAAUAAAAGCGGGAAAUGGAUUCUAUGUGUGUGUCCGUGAUUGCAGUUACCAUAACCAUGCCGAUGUGGAAACUGUAGCUGAUGGAAAUAGGCAACCUGAGCCGCCAACUCAAGGAAAUGUGAUUGAAGGGUCAUCCAUCCUUCUAAACUGUUCCUUCACAAUCGGCCGACAACGGUCCUAUGUUGUCUACUGGCUGAAGGUGAACAGUGGGGAUGGGAGAGCCACCUGCAUAUCGUCCUACAGCAGCAGAGACAGCACAACGGGAACACAAAAGACUGGACUAUGA